ACGGAAGGCAGCAGUGAGGAAUAUUGGUCAAUGGGCGGAAGCCUGAACCAGCCAAGUCGCGUGAAGGAUGAAGGUAUUAUGUAUUGUAAACUUCUUUAGACGCAGAGAAAUAAGAGGCUCGUGAGCCUUGAUGCUAGUAUGCGUAGAAUAAGGAUCGGCUAACUCCGUGCCAGCAGCCGCGGUAAUACGGAGGAUCCGAGCGUUAUCCGGAUUUAUUGGGUUUAAAGGGUGCGCAGGCGGCCCUGUAAGUCAGCGGUUAAAUCGUGGAGCUCAACUCCAUCCCGCCGUUGAUACUGCAGGGCUUGAUUGCGGUCGAGGUUGGCGGAAUUCGCCGUGUAGCGGUGAAAUGCAUAGAUAUCGCGAAGAACUCCGAUUGCGUAGGCAGCUUACCAGGCCGGCAAUGACGCUCAUGCACGAAAGUGCGGGGAUCGAACAGGAUUAGAUACCCUGGUA
RNAcentral lists this ribosomal RNA (453 nucleotides) under uncultured Porphyromonadaceae bacterium. Its description in RNAcentral is "partial 16S ribosomal RNA". It matches the Rfam family "Bacterial small subunit ribosomal RNA", at positions 341 to 792 of the family's 1533-position model. The record is from RNAcentral. Lineage: Bacteria; Pseudomonadati; Bacteroidota; Bacteroidia; Bacteroidales; Porphyromonadaceae.